Molecule: ribosomal RNA, 492 nt
Filed under: uncultured bacterium
Lineage: Bacteria
Description: partial 16S ribosomal RNA
Rfam family: Bacterial small subunit ribosomal RNA
Source: RNAcentral
AGUGAACGCUGGCGGUAGGCCUAACACAUGCAAGUCGAACGGCAGCACAGUAAGAGCUUGCUCUUACGGGUGGCGAGUGGCGGACGGGUGAGGAAUACAUCGGAAUCUACUUUUUCGUGGGGGAUAACGUAGGGAAACUUACGCUAAUACCGCAUACGACCUACGGGUGAAAGCAGGGGAUCUUCGGACCUUGCGCGAUUGAAUGAGCCGAUGUCGGAUUAGCUAGUUGGCGGGGUACAGGCCCACCAAGGCGACGAUCCGUAGCUGGUCUGAGAGGAUGAUCAGCCACACUGAAACUGAGACACGGUCCAGACUCCUACGGGAGGCAGCAGUGGGGAAUAUUGGACAAAGGGCGCAAGCCUGAUCCAGCCAUACCGCGUGGGUGAAGAAGGCCUUCGGGUUGUAAAGCCCUUUUGUUGGGAAAGAAAAGCAGCAGGUUAAUACCCCGCUGUUCUGACGGUACCCAAAGAAUAAGCACCGGCUAACUUCGUG